GGGACACGUGGUAUCCUGUCUGAAUAUGGGGGGACCAUCCUCCAAGGCUAAAUACUCCUGACUGACCGAUAGUGAACCAGUACCGUGAGGGAAAGGCGAAAAGAACCCCGGCGAGGGGAGUGAAAAAGAACCUGAAACCGUGUACGUACAAGCAGUGGGAGCCUCUUAAUGGGGUGACUGCGUACCUUUUGUAUAAUGGGUCAGCGACUUAUAUUCUGUAGCAAGGUUAACCGAAUAGGGGAGCCGAAGGGAAACCGAGUCUUAACUGGGCGUUAAGUUGCAGGGUAUAGACCCGAAACCCGGUGAUCUAGCCAUGGGCAGGUUGAAGGUUGGGUAACACUAACUGGAGGACCGAACCGACUAAUGUUGAAAAAUUAGCGGAUGACUUGUGGCUGGGGGUGAAAGGCCAAUCAAACCGGGAGAUAGCUGGUUCUCCCCGAAAGCUAUUUAGGUAGCGCCUCGUGAAUUCAUCUCCGGGGGUAGAGCACUGUUUCGGCAAGGGGGUCAUCCCGACUUACCAACCCGAUGCAAACUGCGAAUACCGGAGAAUGUUAUCACGGGAGACACACGGCGGGUGCUAACGUCCGUCGUGAAGAGGGAAACAACCCAGACCGCCAGCUAAGGUCCCAAAGUCAUGGUUAAGUGGGAAACGAUGUGGGAAGGCCCAGACAGCCAGGAUGUUGGCUUAGAAGCAGCCAUCAUUUAAAGAAAGCGUAAUAGCUCACUGGUCGAGUCGGCCUGCGCGGAAGAUGUAACGGGGCUAAACCAUGCACCGAAGCUGCGGCAGCGACGCUUAUGCGUUGUUGGGUAGGGGAGCGUUCUGUAAGCCUGUGAAGGUGUGCUGUGAGGCAUGCUGGAGGUAUCAGAAGUGCGAAUGCUGACAUAAGUAACGAUAAAGCGGGUGAAAAGCCCGCUCGCCGGAAGACCAAGGGUUCCUGUCCAACGUUAAUCGGGGCAGGGUGAGUCGACCCCUAAGGCGAGGCCGAAAGGCGUAGUCGAUGGGAAACAGGUUAAUAUUCCUGUACUUGGUGUUACUGCGAAGGGGGGACGGAGAAGGCUAUGUUGGCCGGGCGACGGUUGUCCCGGUUUAAGCGUGUAGGCUGGUUUUCCAGGCAAAUCCGGAAAACCAAGGCUGAGGCGUGAUGACGAGGCACUACGGUGCUGAAGCGACAAAUGCCCUGCUUCCAGGAAAAGCCUCUAAGCAUCAGGUAACAUCAAAUCGUACCCCAAACCGACACAGGUGGUCAGGUAGAGAAUACCAAGGCGCUUGAGAGAACUCG
Molecule: ribosomal RNA, 1280 nt
Filed under: Escherichia coli
Lineage: Bacteria; Pseudomonadati; Pseudomonadota; Gammaproteobacteria; Enterobacterales; Enterobacteriaceae
Description: partial 23S ribosomal RNA
Rfam family: Bacterial large subunit ribosomal RNA
Source: RNAcentral